ACAUUUCAAUCAGAGCCUGUCAAUCUAGAACCUGAAAAAUGUGAAUGAUGGCAAUGGCUAGACUGGGACAAUUUUGUGCACGCUAACAAAUGUUUUCGACCCCUUGAGUUGGUGAUUACUCAGGGUUACAAUCCCUUUCAUCCACCAAGAACUAUUGCAUGAUGGUAUGAAGAUGGAAAGGACACUUAGUCUUGAGAAAUGUACAGCAUCUUCCACGGAACAUGAUGAAAGACUUGUUGACUUACGUUACAAAGAACAACGAACAUUAUCUUAAAAAAACAGAGAAACUAAGUGUAAUAUAAAUUAUUAUAUCAGAAACAUACAUAAUACCAUAACAGAAUACAUCUCUUUUUAUAUAUAGAAUUGAAUAAACAUAUUUGUUUGUGUAUUAUUAGAUAAAAUAAAAUGUUUAAUCUAGUUCGAA
Molecule: long non-coding RNA, 424 nt
Organism: Mytilus californianus (California mussel)
Lineage: Eukaryota; Metazoa; Mollusca; Bivalvia; Mytilida; Mytilidae
Exons: 2
Source: RefSeq, a predicted model, not a curated record